This 253-nucleotide ribosomal RNA is filed under the name uncultured bacterium. RNAcentral describes it as "partial 16S ribosomal RNA". It matches the Rfam family "Bacterial small subunit ribosomal RNA", at positions 524 to 776 of the family's 1533-position model. The record is from RNAcentral.
UACGUAGGGGGCUAGCGUUGUCCGGAUUUAUUGGGCGUAAAGAGCGUGUAGGCGGCCAGGUAGGUCUGCUGUGAAAACUCGAGGCUCAACCUCGAGACGCCGGUGGAAACCAUCUAGCUAGAGUCCGGAAGAGGAGAGUGGAAUUCCUGGUGUAGCGGUGAAAUGCGCAGAUAUCAGGAAGAACACCCGUGGCGAAGGCGGCUCUCUGGGACGUGACUGACGCUGAGACGCGAAAGCGUGGGGAGCGAACAGG